CCAUGUUCUAGACAUUAUUGAAGAUGGGGGAAAAGCAGUAUUUUGGUCUCCAGCCACUAUAGGCGUUUUUAAUAUAUACAAAUGUGAUUUACAGCUGUAAUCUAGGUCAGCUACAAGGCUAUUAUCACAACUGCCAACAAUUUUUUUGCUCUUUUCAUAUUUUAUCAAUGAAUAAAAGCCUCAAUUGCUCUGAUAAGAAUUUACCUAUAGAACUAUCCAUUGUGUGUUUCUUCUGGCAGUGAUGUCCUUCAGAUUGCAAUUGUCUGGCCACUAAAACAUUUUCACCAUUUAGUCUUCGAAUAUUUUUAACAAUACAAAUAAUAGUGCAGACAAUGAAAUUGAUUUCACCCCCAAAAAUCUAAUCAAAUUAAAAUUAGUACAUUGUUAUUGUCAUUUAUAUUUUCAGGUUUCAACCAAGAGGGAAUAUAAUUAUUUUCCUCUUAAGUUUUACUCUUCCUACAUUAUAAAGUAAAUGCUGCGACUACCCUUACAUUUUCAAUUCAAAGUUCCAUUACAAGGAGCAUGCUUAAAGAGCUCUGCCUCUUUUAAAGAAAGAUUACUGGUUUAUUUUAAUGUUGACACAGGAAAAAAAAAUAAUAAAAAAAAAUCUUGGUUUCUCCUAUUUUUUUAUGGUGUGAGCGUGUAAUAGGUAGGACGUGUGUUCAGGGUCAGGCAUGCAUGAAAUGAGUGUGAGGAGUGACUGGGUUUUGGUGGGCGGGAGGGUGGUUUAUUAUGCUUGGAAAAUAGAAAAUAAAGUUAAAAAUAAAAAAAACUCUGAAAAAUAAGGAAUAUUUUUCCUUAAUGUGUAAAAGGUUAUUUCUAUCAAUAAAUUAACAUGGAAAAAUCA
Non-coding RNA from Pelobates cultripes (western spadefoot toad), 847 nucleotides. The record is from the annotation of a GenBank genome assembly. Lineage: Eukaryota; Metazoa; Chordata; Amphibia; Anura; Pelobatidae.